CCCUUCUCAGUGUUUUGAUUGCCACGUGUCGUUUUUUGACUUGAUCAUCAGUACCUUUUGAUGGUGAUGAUUUUCUUGUUCCUUUUCUUACAACUGAGAAUCCUCCUCGGCCUAAUACCUCCGAGAUAUCGUAUUGGUCGUUUUAUCCAUAUAUAAGACAUAUCUGAUCUCCAGUUGUUUGCCAAGAAUUUGAUCUCAAACAAAGUGAGAGGACCAUAUCCACGCACAGUAUUGAGGAUUUCAGCAGAUGUGAGAGGACCUUUCAACCACAUUGUUUCUUUGUGGACCAGGAAAUCAAAUUUGAACCCGAAAAAAAAAUGGCAUAUCCACUAAAAGAUCUUCGAUCAUCAAGGCAACUUCCCAAGUCUGCUUAAUCCUCAUGAGUUCACAAUGAAGCCGGUUGAAUAAAGAACCCAUCAUGAGUAGUACCAUUAAGAUGGCGUAAUAUAUAUAACAUUUUGCAAGCCAGCCAAUGUAUGUCAGUGGGAACAUGAAUGAACUGAUAUUCAAGGCAACAUCUGGCCAUGCCUAGUAAAAGUAAGAUACAGUAAUGCACUAAAGUGCUUCUACAUAGUUUAAUGUCUACCGUAGGUUCACCAUCCUUUUAAACAGAGUUUAUGAGCAGCACUAGCAUAUAUAUAUUUGGAUUAGUGUAAAAAAGUUGUAGUACGAUAUAUUUCCACUCCAAGAAAUGGGACAAGGUCCUUGAGUGCAAAAUGUUGAUUUAGACUAUGAACUUGUUCAUCAGUUGGUGAAUGCCAAGAGGGCAUGUAACACGAAAUUCAUCUAGACAAGUAGUAUAACUAGAUUUUAGCUUGUGGCA
Long non-coding RNA from Cannabis sativa, 823 nucleotides. RefSeq lists it as uncharacterized. The record is from RefSeq and is a predicted model, not a curated record. The transcript is spliced from 2 exons. Lineage: Eukaryota; Viridiplantae; Streptophyta; Magnoliopsida; Rosales; Cannabaceae.